GGUCAAGUGGCGGAGAGGCCGAACGCACAGGACUGCCAAUCCUGUUUAUCAAUGGGGCUUUUAAAGAGAGACCCAGAUAUCAUCGAGGGUUCGAAUCCCUCCUUGACCUCCA
RNAcentral lists this transfer RNA (112 nucleotides) under Saprospiraceae bacterium. Its description in RNAcentral is "tRNA-Gly". It matches the Rfam family "tRNA". Rfam says of the family: Transfer RNA (tRNA) molecules are approximately 80 nucleotides in length. Their secondary structure includes four short double-helical elements and three loops (D, anti-codon, and T loops). Further hydrogen bonds mediate the characteristic L-shaped molecular structure. tRNAs have two regions of fundamental functional importance: the anti-codon, which is responsible for specific mRNA codon recognition, and the 3' end, to which the tRNAs corresponding amino acid is attached (by aminoacyl-tRNA synthetases). tRNAs cope with the degeneracy of the genetic code in two manners: having more than one tRNA (with a specific anti-codon) for a particular amino acid; and 'wobble' base-pairing, i.e. permitting non-standard base-pairing at the 3rd anti-codon position. Lineage: Bacteria; Pseudomonadati; Bacteroidota; Saprospiria; Saprospirales; Saprospiraceae. The record is from RNAcentral.